CCUACGGGUGGCAGCAGUGGGGAAUAUUGGACAAUGGGCGAAAGCCUGAUCCAGCCAUGCCGCGUGUGUGAAGAAGGCCUUCGGGUUGUAAAGCACUUUCAGUGGGGAAGAAAGCCUUGGGGCUAAUACCCUCGAGGAAGGACAUCACCCACAGAAGAAGCACCGGCUAACUCCGUGCCAGCAGCCGCGGUAAUACGGAGGGUGCGAGCGUUAAUCGGAAUUACUGGGCAUAAAGCGCGCGUAGGCGGUCUGAUAAGCCGGUUGUGAAAGCCCCGGGCUCAACCUGGGAACGGCAUCCGGAACUGUCAGGCUAGAGUGCAGGAGAGGAAGGUAGAAUUCCCGGUGUAGCGGUGAAAUGCGUAGAGAUCGGGAGGAAUACCAGUGGCGAAGGCGGCCUUCUGGACUGACACUGACGCUGAGGUGCGAAAGCGUGGGUAGCAAACAGGAUUAGAUACCCUUGUAGUC
RNAcentral lists this ribosomal RNA (465 nucleotides) under Vreelandella stevensii. RNAcentral's name for it is "partial 16S ribosomal RNA". It matches the Rfam family "Bacterial small subunit ribosomal RNA", at positions 338 to 795 of the family's 1533-position model. Lineage: Bacteria; Pseudomonadati; Pseudomonadota; Gammaproteobacteria; Oceanospirillales; Halomonadaceae. The record is from RNAcentral.